AGCAGCCGCGGUAAUUCCAGCUCCAAUAGCGUAUAUUAAAGUUGUUGCAGUUAAAAAGCUCGUAGUUGAAUUUCGGGAUCAGAUUGUUGGUCGUGCCUCGGUACGUACUGGCAUUAUUGGUUCCUACCUUCUGAAGAACCGCGAUGUCAUUAAUUUGGUGUCGUGGGGAAUCAGGACUGUUACUUUGAAAAAUUAGAGUGUUUAAAGCAGGCGCACGCUUGAAUACAUUAGCAUGGAAUAAUGAAAUAAGACGUUUGAUUCUAUUUUGUUGGUUUCUAGGAUCGACGUAAUAAUUAAUAGGGAUAGUUGGGGGCAUUAGUAUUCAAUUGUCAGAGGUGAAAUUCUUGGAUUUAUUGAAGACUAACUACUGCGAAAGCAUUUGCCAAGGAUGUUUUCAUUAAUCAAGAACGAAAGUUAGGGGAUCGAAGACGAUCAGAUACCGUCGUAGUC
This 450-nucleotide ribosomal RNA is filed under the name uncultured Glomus. Its description in RNAcentral is "SSU rRNA". It matches the Rfam family "Eukaryotic small subunit ribosomal RNA", at positions 569 to 1025 of the family's 1831-position model. The record is from RNAcentral. Lineage: Eukaryota; Fungi; Glomeromycota; Glomeromycetes; Glomerales; Glomeraceae.